UAGAGAACGAAGAAAAUUCGAGAGAUGGGGUAGAAAAUGAUGGAGAUGGAUAAAUGAAUGCAGAAACUGGAGAAACACAACCUCAAAGUGCUGAAAAAAUGAGGCACAAUAGGCAGUGUUUGACGAGAGGACAUGAUAUUAAAUUACACUGAAAUGACGAUGAGAAAAAUGUCAGGACAAAUUCGGUUAAUAUACAAUUGGAAAGUAUUAAUUUUGGCUUCUAACCAUUUGUAUGCCAUAUGUAGUAAACAGAUAUGUUUCAACUUCAUUGUGUUUGUAUUUGAUGAAUGGUAUGUGGGCCGCUGCAUAAGCCAUUUGUUUGAAGAAUUACAGUCCAUGGAUGCUAACAAUGUGGCUAAUCAGAAACUUUUGUUUCAUUAGAUUGACUGAAAUUGAAUUGUUAAUUAACUUGAGUAGGAUAUCGCUGCUUUGUGCCCAGGUACUUUCAUUUAUAUUGGAAUGAGAUGACUAUGUUAUGUAGAACAUAGAAGCAUAAUUUAAUCUAUGAGAUAACAGUGUGUUUGAUGAGAUUUUUUUUUCCUUCUCUUCAGCCUAAUAGAAGUACAUGUAGGUCGUAGGAGAAUAAUCAGGAUAAUUGGAUGCAUGUUUCCAUGGUAGCAAUUGAAAGUGCUAUUGAAAAUUUUCCAGUAGUUUGUAAUCUGAACCCCACGAAAUGUGUAAUGCAAUUAUGAUGGACAUGCAUUUAAUAGUAGGACAUGACAUGUAGUUGUUAAUGGUGAUAAAAAGCUUUAUAUGUAAUGUGUAAUGCAAUUAUGAUGGACAUAACAAUGACAUGCUGUAAUAUGUAAUGCAAUGAACUAAUUCUGGCUUAAAUCAUAGAAGAGCAUAAUUUCUCUAAGGUGCCUUAAGGUAGUACCUUAGGUACAUUAAGGUAGUACCUCAUGUGCAUUAAGGUAGUACCUCAUGUGCAUUAAGGUAGUACCUCAAAUUUUUUAUGAUUACAUAACCUACCGAAUGAGUUAGCAAUAAGAAUAUAAUAAUGGCAUGCUGUAAUAUGUAAUGCAAUGAACUAAUUCUGACUUAAAUCAUAGAAGAGCAUCAUUUCUCUAAGGUGCCUUAAGGUAGUACCUUAGGUACAUUAAGGUAGUACCUCAUGUCAUUAAGGUAGCACCUCAUGUGCAUUAAGGUAGUACCUUAAAUUUUUUAUGAUUACAUAACCUACCGAAUGACUAAGUUAUAAAAAAUUUGUAUGUUCUCAUAGGUUACCUUAUGUAAUCAUAAGAAAUUUCAGGUACUACCUUAAUGCACAUAAGGUACUACCUUAAUGCACAUAAGGUACUACCUUAAUGGUCUUCAGGUACUACCUUACUGUACAUAAGGUACUACCUUAACGCACCUGCGAGAAAUGUAGCCAUUUUGUGGCUUCAUAUUUUUAUUAGUUAAUUUCAUGACCUAUUGUAGCAUGACAUUGUUAUGUUCUCAUAGGUUACUCCAACGGUACCUUAUGUAAUCAUAAGAAAUUUCAGGUAUUACCUUAAUGCACAUAAGGUACUACCUUAAUGGUCUUCAGGUACUACCUUAAGGUACAUAAGGUACUACCUUAACGCACCUACGAGAAAUGUAGCCACUUUGUGGCUUCAGAUUUUUAUUAGUUAAUUUCAUGACCUAUUGCAACAUGACAUUGUUAUGUUACCUUAUGUAAUCAUAAGAAAUUUCAGGUACUACCUUAAUGCACAUAAGGUACUACCUUAAUGGUCUUCAAGUACUGCCUUAAUGUACCUCAUGUACUACUUUAACGCACCCGUGAGAAAUGUAGCCAUUCUGUGGCUUCAGACUUUUAUUAGUUAAUUUCAUUACUUAUUGCAGCAUGACACUACCUUAAACCAUAUUCGAUAAAUUUUACUCUCCCGACAAUUUUUCACUCUCAAUAUUUAUUUAAUCAUACUAUUGUUUUCUCAUUUUUCUGGUUAUGUCAAGUUAUGAUGGUUGUGGUUGGAUACGGAAGGUGAUCAUGCGAAGCAAAUAUUUAUUGGUUUUCUACCACAUUUAUUUUUUCUAUAACAACCUGUACAUGGUUUGAAGCACAAAAUUAGCAAAAUGCACAAUCAUUUAGGAACCCUGAGUAGCCCGUGCCAAUGAGAAUGUGCAAUAGUCCUGAACCCUGGUAGAUCAGGAUUUGAAGGGCGCCAUUGCAAACUAUUGGUAUACCAGCAAACUGUUUCUAAUGUAGUAAAUCAAACCAAACAAACCUCCCAACUUACCAAUAACAUUAACAGAAGAUGAUAUGUAAAAGCUUACACAAUAACUAAAUAUGAAAGGAAAGUCGUCAAACAAUUUACUAAUGUGAUUAUGGAAGGAUAAACUGAAACUGCAUCAGUGUACAAACAAAUAGGUUCCAGUCUAUGUUUGUUGUUCUCUUAUGAAAUUAGUACCAUACCCCAUAAUAAACCUAUCACUGUGGAUCACAUCUUACAAUCACAGUUGUUGUCCAAUCAGUCGCCAAUACAACACUGACCAGCACCCUUAACUAUAAUAAAAGAACAAAUACUGAGUGUUGUCCAUGUUCCUACUCCCUAACUUUACAAUAUUGAAGGAAAAAUGAACAGCCCUAUUACAUUGCUGUGACUGCAUCCCAUAUGCUCCAGCAGCAGCAUUACUAGGUACUCUUCCUUUCCCUUACACGUUGGCCAUUCUUGUACAUAAAGUCCUCAUAUUCAGCAUAACCCAACUGCCACUGUUACAAUGGGAUGUGGAAUACUUCAUCAGAUACAUCACAUAUAGAACAUAAAUAAUGGUUUUACAAUUGGAACAAAUCACAUCAGCACACAACAUGAUAUGAGUUAAUAAAUUUUGGACAAACUAAAAUCAACCCUUGGUCAUUUUGGUACGUAGCAGCAGAUAGGAAGAAACUUAUCAUGAACUAUGAAGUCACAAAUGACAUGCGGCCAUGAUUGUAUCUCUGACACUGUUGCGUUCAUUGAGGACUAUUUGCAGCACUAGCUGGAGUCUGUACAUGUUCGUCUUGUCCUACGGAAAUGGGAAAAAAUUAUUCCAUGCGGUUAGGAAAAUAGCACUCAAAUCAAAGGACAAAUAUGCAGAUAAUUAAAUGAAACAGGUCAGCUGACACUGAUAUUAGCAACCAGCCUCUGAAAAAUGCCACCAAAUGAUGCCACUCAUUCAAAGUAUUUAUUUUCGGAUAAUUAAAUGAUGCCACCAAAUGAUACAUGGGAACACAAACUGCAGUAUGGUUGAAAUGACUUAAGCAAUGUAAUCUUACCAAAUACAUGGGAUUUGAGUAAAUACCAUUAAAACAAGAUGUGGUGCAAACAUAGUUUGGACUUUGUGAAAGAACUGAAUCAGCAGAGAAAUAUAAUGUAACUCAAUGAACAUUGCAGGUGAAUGGAAAGGCACAAAACAUUCAAAUAGUAACGAUGAUUGGGUGACAACCAGUUAGUUGAAAUAGAGUAAUACAAGAUCAGCAUAAUGCAAUAAGUAGACAGAUAUGCAUUUAGGGCAAAGGAUUUUUGCAGGUUUUUCUGUUGUGGCCGGACAUAUGACAACGAGAGCAAUAAACAGGCCGUUUAUCUUGAAAUUGAGACUCAAUGCGCUUCUUCCUUGGCCUUCCGGGAGGGCGCUUUGUAUGUGGAGGCUUUAGAGAGAAGAACACCUCCCCGGUGAUAGAUCGAACCAAACCAUCAUCGUCCACAGUAGGCAUGUCAUGGGUCUCUAUGCCGGAGAAAGAGCCCCCAUAUAUCAACUCUUGCAUUGGGUAUUUGUAGCAAUCAUCGACGAAAUCAGUAACAUUUUGACCAAUGGAAAUAAUGACGGCUGUGGCAUGCUCACAAGGGAUUCCCAACAUCUGCCAACCCCUACAAGUGCAUGUAUGGUUUAAAAUGUCUACAUUCAACAAGGCUCUCCCAAUACAUACCCCAAAUACUCCAUUCUUGAAUGGUGUGACUGGAUACACCGCACCCUUUGCAAUAUUUUCCUGCACCUUAGCUUCAAUUUUUGGCCCUAUACACCCUUUCCAAUUCUUAGACUCUUCUUGAUGCUUCACAAGCAUAGAAGCUAACUUGGACAUGUGCUCCAAUAAAAAGUUACAAAGAGAGUGAUGUCUUUCAAUCCGUAACCAAGCAUUAAAUGACUCAGCAAGGUUCGUAGUCAUUUUAUCCCAUCUUUGUUUUGGGAAUUUUGACAUGGCCCAAUGGUGCGGCGCAUUUUCUUCUACCCAUGUGGCUAAAGCCUCGUUGUAUUUUUUUAGUUCAAACAUGGAAACGUUAUAAUCAUGUUCUAGCCUUCCAUACGCAAUGCUAUCUAGGAAUUGCAAUGCAUUUUCUUUACCCUUGUUCCCUCGUGUGUUAUACUUGGACAAGAAACUACUAAAAUUCUCCUUCAAGUGACGGUAGCAAUAAGCAUGGUUUUCAAUGCCAAACACCUCAGGGACACUACGAAGCAAAGCAUGAUGUCUAUCUGAGAUAAUAAUAACUUCCUUGUUUCCCACAACUAUCUUCAGUUUUUCCAAGAACCAUAACCAAUCUUCAUAAUUUUCCGAGCUCAUCACUCCAAAGGCUAAGGGGAACAUGGAGUCAUUAGCAUUGUAAGAGGUGGCUAAAAAUAGAGCACCGCCAUAAGGCCCACUCAUAUGGGCCGAAUCAAUUGCAAUGAUUGGUCGACACCCCCUUACAAACCCUUCGAUAGAUAUUGAAUGAGCAACAAAAAGCUUCUCAAAAUGGUCAUCAUUGGAAUAACUCAGCUCAACACUCGAUCCCGGAUUUGUUGCAAGCAUUCUUUCACACAUCCAUGGCAACAAUUUGUAAUAAUUCUUGGGUUGUCCAUAAAUGCGCUCCUUAGCCUUCUCCUUCAUUUGCCAUGCUUGUAGGUAAGUUAACUGGAUGCCAUGUUGCCUUACAAAGUCCUUACAAAUUUGGUGUGGUUGGUAUUCAGGAGUAGAUCGAAUGACAUCAUCAAUGACCAACGAUGCACAAGUGGAUCUCACUAAAGGCUGAGACAAGACAACAUCUUCCAAGCAAUGGUUAUGCACAUUUCAGAAUGUGUGUACUUGAACAAUGUUUGAAUCCUCUAUUGCACGCACGGUGAUUUUCCAAGGACAAUCUUCAAUUGUGCAUACUACGGUCAUGUGUUUUAGACUAUUCCUUUUGUAAGAAUAUCGAAAUUUUUCAGCCAAAGACAUCAAAUAGAUUGCAUCUCGAAACUCCGACGUAUUUGGGAAGGUAUGUCCACUACCUACAAUUGAAUGUUCGAACCGGCUUGGUUGAAGUUGAACGGUAUUUUUCAUAGCACAUCUUUGGGAAAACCCAACUGACUGAAUUGUGGGCGACUCAUUAGAGAUGUGUAAUGGGGGCUCGCCAAUAGAGGAAACAUGAGCUGAGUUUGAAGCAACAAUGGGGGUUGGGCCACUGCAAAAAACAUAAGGAAAGAAUUUGAUCAUCCAUCAAUCUAAGUGUGAAAAGCGAUUAUACAAAAGGGAACAUUAUUGUAAAAGGACAUUAGGUACCUAGUAGGGCAAAUGAAGUCAUCACCACAUUCAGUACAUUGGGAGAUGUAGACAUGACAAAACAUGUCGUUGAAUUUGAACAUAUUGACUAUGUCGCCAUCAUUAUGCAGUGGCAAUAGACAUGAUGGGUCAAACUUGACUGUGAAUUCCAAUUUAAUGGAAUUGGAAUCCAAGUUCAGUACACCACAUACUUUUGAAACGAAUUCAGAUUGUGAGAUAUUCUUGCUAACAACACUGCAAUUGGUCCAACCUCCCUUAUAUUCGACGGGCCCAACAACAGUCUUAACAAGCUCACCACCUUCAUGAAUGUAACAAAACAUCUCCUCUUCCAUUUCCUUAUUGACAUAAAGAUUUGUUAAAAACAAUACAACAACGAAAGAUUGAGGAAUUAUGCAUGUUGAUUCCAUAGACUUUAAGGUUCAAACAUGCUAAUUGGCUGAUGCACACAAUUAAGGUUCAAACAUGCUAAUUGGCCGAUGCACACAAGUAGUGUACAAGUCCAACUAUGGUAGUACCUAAGGAUAUCUAACCUAGUACUUAAAGAUUACUAAGGUUAGACCUAAGGUUAAUUAAGAUAGUACCUAUGGUACAGUCUCAAGUAAAGGUACGGGGAACCAAAUGAGCAGAGUAGUCAAACACAUAAUGUCAUGAUAGCUUGUAUGUGGAAGUGAAUACAAUUUAAUUUAUGCAUGACUUGAAAACAACCUGUAGGUCCUAUGUUUGACAAACUGAACCCCAUUGGGUUAACAAUAAAGACAACUUUUAUUCACAUAUGAAUUAUUUGAAUAUUAAAAAAUGAAGUUUCCAGUCGUCACACAACUUGUACCCAAGGUUGGCUCAGGUAGUACCUGAUGUUGACUAAUGCAGUACAUACAGUCGAUUAAGGUCGUACAUUUAGGAAUAAUGAGGUAGUACAUAAGCUUAACUUAUCAGUACAAUAAGGUUAACCAACUGAUCACCAAAACAAACGAUAUAUAGAUAAAAAUGCAUUUCAUCCAUUCUGACCAGCAUUCCCUAUUUUCUAUUUAUGUUAUGAAGGGAAUUAAACCAAUGCAUGGAUACCAAUAGUUCCUAUAUAGCCUUUCCUAUUACCAUCUUCUAAAACGGAUAUCUGAAUCAAUAUCAAUUACUAAUCAACAAGAACAUUAACAUAUAGUAACCAUACAUAUGUUACUAUAUGUUUGAAGAAAUGGGACGUGAUUUGAAACUAUACAUAUAAAACAAAAACAAAAAAACACAACGAAAACUUUAGCACCCAUCAACCAUCAAUAUCACAAAAACCUAAAAAACUGAGUAAUUUGGAACAACUUUCCCAUCUAAAAAUCACCAUUUAUUAAGAACUUUUUUCGUUCUCAAAAUGAAAACUUCAUCCCAAAAAAAUGUUCCCUUUUGGUCAUCCACUGCAUAGCUCAAUCCAAAAACACAUUCCAAUAAAUGGGUUUCACUAAAAAUGCAUUGUUUCCCAAUACCUAAAAACACCACUGGGAAAAAAAAUUCCUUUUUCGCUAAUCAAUUCAAAAUAUGUUUUUCUCAGUUCUAAACCAAAACAAAAACAAAUGUCUUUUCCAACGAAACAAUUCCUAACCCAUAUUCUUGCCUUUACUUUAUAUCAAAACAACAGAGUUGCGAUAAUUUGUCAAUCCAAAUAAAACAGUACAAAAUCAGAUUUGAAAAAGACGAUGAUGAUUCAUUACCAACAGAUUUAAAAUUUCAGUACCAACUCCUAAAUGCCAACAUUUCAGCCACGCCUGGUUCAGAAAAAACCCACACAAACAGCAGAUUUUCAUGAAUGAGAAUGCGAAUGCAAAACACGGAACGAAUGGCUUACCUCGACAGAGAAAAUCUAAGAUGUGACAAAUCGGAUUAAGGCCUUCUCAACUGAAAUCUGCUUCGCCUCGGUGACGAAGUGAAGAAAUAUGAGAGGAAUGGGUAUCAAAUCAGAGAGGGGGAAGAAAGAACCCUCGGCUACCCUAUUUUUAUGGGAUUUUCUGCUUCGCCUUGGUGACCGAGUGAAGAUAGAUGAGACGAAUGGGUGCCAAAAUGAGAGAGAGGGAAGAAAGAACGGUCGAUCGGCUAGGGUUUUCUUGUGGGAACCUCUGCUUCGCCUUGGUGACGGACUGCAGAAAGAUGAGAGGAAUGGGUACCAAAUGAGAGAAAGAGAGGAUGAACGGUCGGUCGCCCAGGGUGUUUUUGUGGGAAGCUCAAUAUUUGAUUUUGCACAAGACAACCGGUUCAGUUUCAACCAGUGCUGAGAUGGGCUGUUGACGUGGAUACCUGGAGGGGCAAUUUCGGUAGAAACAAUACAGCCGGCUCAGAGUGCAUGAAUCUGAUAUAAGUUUCCACAUUAACAGAUGUUUUUCUACUUUCACAAACCUGGGUUCCAAAAACAAUAUUAUAACCAUAUUGGCCCAUGAAAACACAACUUUCCCAAAAUAGUUUUGGCCAUUGGAUGAAGAUGGUUCAAUCCAGAUUGUCCAAUUGGCUUAUUUAUUUUUAAAAAUUUUAAAAAAAAUAAAAAUAAAAUAAAAGAGAGUUGUCGGUCACCUUGAUUUCCCGCUUUUAUCUUGCUUAAUCUUGUCCAAAGACAAAAAUUUGUUUGAUGGGUAUUACACUUGACGCUUAUUUUCGGAGAAGUGAGCUAUUGAUUGAUGGGCAUUACAAUUUUUCUCGGAUUUUAGAGAGUUAAGCUUUAGAAAUUUGAGGGUAUGGAGAUGGAAUUUUCUGGUGAAAUGAGACUUUACAGAGAGAGUGAAGCUGAGUGGGGAUUUUGAAGGAGAAAUCAGAGAGGAGAAAUCAAUAAGAAAAGAAUCAGGUGGGCUUUGGCGGAGUAUCCGAAACCAAUCUCCCCCUGUAGGCAACUCUACCCACUCUCCCAGAAUAGGAACUUCACUCAUCUUAAUGUUAUAUGGUAGUGAUUGAAAUGUUGAAAAAGUUCGACGAUAUUUCUUAAAAAGACAAUAUUUUUAUUGAUUCGAAAAUAUCUAUUUUUUUGGGAAAUUUCCUGAUAUUUCCUACCAGUCUAAGUUGCGCACAAACACGAUAUUUUGAUCGAUUAAAAAAUAUCGUCGAAAUUUUGGUAUUUUUACCAAUUUUUUUUUUGGGAAAUUUCCCGAUAUUUCCUACCAGUCCAGGCCACACACACGAUACAAAAUUUUUCCAUUUUUUUAAAAAAAAACAUAAGAUGCUAUUUGGUAAUCUGAUCAUGAUUUGCAAGCAAAGGUUGUGUUUUUUAACUUGACUAAAAAAUCGUGGAUUUAGGGUUUGUGAAAUUUAAAUCGAAUGGCACAAAAGCAAAGAGACCCCUAAAACAAAUCCAAAAAACAUAGGGAGCAAAAAAUAAAUUUUUUUUUUUUUUUUUUUGUUUUCCUUGGGGGACCCUUACAUGGAUUUUCUCGGAAAUCAAACGAACAUGAAUGUUCCCGAAAAUUGAAUGGAGGAUGGAUUUUGUUGGGAAUCAAACAAGGGUUGAAAAAAAAAUGAUAACAUGAUUAGAUUAGUACUUGCGAGGAUUGAGAGUGGCAGAGUAAAAUGGAGCCUUUUUAGGGAUUCUCUCGUUUGGAGGGCAACUUCAAAAAAAGGCUUCUUGAUGCUCGAGGCCCCAACUGAGAGAAGUGGUAAAAAUAGGGCUUUUUUAGGGAUUCCUCUUUGUAUAUAAAUAAUUAGUAAUUAUCCAUGUGUAUUUUGAUUAAAUCUUUACUAUGGAUUGAACUUUCAAAUUUUAUUACUAAUAUUUUAUGAAUUAAAAUUAAUUUGGUAAGAUAAAUUAUUAAUAAUUUUAAUUAUUUAAAUACAUUAAUAGAAAAAAUUGUUAUCACAUAUUUUUAAUAAAUUUUUAAAAAUUAAAUCUCAAAUAAAAUAUUUUAUAUAAAUUAAUUUAACUUUUCAUUUCAAAUGUAAUAAAAUUCUAGACUUUUGAACGUUUUAGUGUUAGAAAUAAUAAUGCAAUUUGAACCUAACUCUAUCAUUUUUAAAAAGUCCCUUAUUACCACUAAAGUACCUUGAUAUGAUAUAAAAUACCAUUUAUUAGUGUUAUAUUGUUUAUUUGAAAUUAUGAAUGUUAACUUGUGUAUAAAAUAAUAAUAAAAAUUUGAGGGACAAUAACAGAUUUUUUUUAAAAAAUAAUUGUGUGUUUCUAAUUAAAAUUUGAUUUGUUCAAAUUUUUAAUUAAAGUAUGAGUAUAUGUUUGAUUCAUGCCCAAUUGGUGUCUCAACUGAUUCGUGUCCAGCUGGUGCACCUUGAUAGAGGGAGUAAUCAACAAAAUUUAUAACCUAUAACACCAUAUACUAGGGUAGCAAAGAAAAAGCUACUAUAGUAUAGCGGCUCUAGGAUCGUUCACUGGGAAGGAUUAGCAAGCUAUCAAUGAUACCAAUUCCAAGUGAAUUGGUCUUGUUUCAUUUCAAUGUUAGCUUAAGAAAGAAAACACAAACUUUGAUUGGUAAAGAUUUAAACUAACUAACAUAACAAGUACUCGGAAUAACUUAGGAAGAAAAGCAUUCCUUGGAGAGUUAGGUUCACUGGGGUGGUUCCUCAUGCAAAAGACAUAGCUCCGGUCAGAUGGUUUCUUUCCUCGCAUUAGAGAUUCAACAUAUAUUCAAUUCUCUAACCGGUGCUGUACAGAUACCUCCUUCAAUUAGAUUUCACUUUAAUUCUCUCACUGAUGCAACUUGCAAUGAUUUAAGCCUCUCACUAAGCCGUAACCAUUCAAGGUGAUCUUUAACCUUGGAUUACCCGUCAAAAGCUCGCAAGAGAUAACUAAUGGAUGUCUCCUUGGAGUCCAAAAGCUUACCAAGUGUUGGCUAUUCUAGAAAAUCAUACCUUCAAGUCACCUCCCAAAGGCUCGCAAGGGGUAAACUAGUGCAUUUCCAUGGUUGGAAAUCACUUGCCUUACCAAGUGUUGGCCCAGGUGACUCUAAGGUGUUUUAAGUUAACUAAAAACAUAGAAAUCACUAAAGGAUUUCACUUCCUCUUCAUUAAUAGCUAAAACCACAAAGCUUUGCAUUCUUGCACUUGGAACCUUCCCCGACAACCUUAGCUCCAAGGAACUAGAGAUUUAGUUACUCAUUCUCUGGGGAAAACUCCUCAGAGAGUUCAUAACUUAGUAAGAAAAUAAAAAUACAAAGUGAGAAGGUAAGGCAAUACAAAGAACUGAACUUUACUUGCUUACCCAAAACUUUACAAAAGGAUCUCCUCCUCUUGAGAACAGGCUCCCGAGAGGUAUAUAUGAACAUAAUAUAAAAUUAAUUAUUACAUAGAUAUUUUCUCUUUUUUACUAACUUAAAAGCUAAGGAAUCUUGUAAUUGGUGGCUUACAAGGAGUAUUUUGGUAUUUAGACAACAAAAAUCUAAUGUAAAAUAUCUCCCAAUGUCGGUAGCAGAUAUCGGGAUGCUCCAGGAACCAUUUCGCAAGAGAAAAUGGUGUCUGCGAGAUUUCGCAGACACUCAAGAGGGCUGCGAAAUCAUUUCGCAACAACAUGCUAUCUUCGCAGGGCUGCGAAGUUGGCUUCCACCUUGAGGUUCCCAGCUUCCCUCUCGCGGUAUAUGUCGGGCAUCUUCAGGAGGAAAUACACCCUACUGUACAAAAAGGCUGCGGAAUCACUUCGCAACAAAAGGGUGAUUUCGCAACACUUUGCAAAAUGCUUCCUUCAGCUUGGAGUGAUUGGCUUGCAAUGGCUGCAACUUCUUCGUUUCAACUCCGAAUUGCACACCGUUUGAAGCAGUGGAUUGUUGACUUCCUGAGCUUUGAAAUGGUAUAUAGCAUGCAUCAAUUGGACUUCAGAAAGUGCUCCAAAAAUGGCUGCUACGACUGUCAUCAAGAAUAUGCUUCAUGGCAGAUUCUCUUUACUUUUUCUCCUUGCAUUCCGGAUUCACUCUUGGCAAAUGACUUCUAAGCUUUGCCCAAGAUUCCUCAUAAUUCUCCUCAAACUUGAAUUGCUUUGGUGAUCAAAAUACUAACAAAAACACCAAAACUUACACAAAGUAAUUAAAAUUGCUUUCAAGGGUCCUUAACAUGCCAAUUGAGUUAAAAGGCCUAAACUACUACUCAAAAGUGUUUAAAAGGAUUAAUUAUAGGCUAUCAAAUAGCACUUUUUGAGUAGUAAUCAAUGUUACUCAUUAAAAUUAAAUUAAAUUCUUUUGAUCAGGUGCAAAAUGGUACGAUUGAGGAGAACUAAGAAAGUACUAAGGGGUAGAGGACCUUGGCCGCAUUUGGAUACAAUCUUGAACUACAAGAGGGACCCUAGCCAUUCUACAAAUGAACAUGUGGAUCAUGUGGUUAAUAUGUUCAAACGUUUCGAAGAGGAAUAUAUCUUAGAGUCAAACUGUAAAAAACAUAUUCUACAAAUGUCAUUAACAGAACCUGAGAAAAAAGUUCUUGAAAAUAUAUGAGAAUCCAUUGAAGAAGGGCUUCAUGGUUUCACAAAUAGGUCUUUAGAUGACCCAGUAGCUAUUUUCAAGGAACAUUGGGAAAAAUGCUUCGUGAAGAAUGCCAUCAGACGAACAACAGUGUUUUGUAUUUCUCCUAACUUACGAAAUGCAAGAUUUUCAAAUUCUAGUAGGCAUAAAAAUCUUAGAGGGUUAUGGUUAUUGAAAACAACUUCUAGAGUUAUAGAAGACACUGUGUAUAAUCCUAACAUUGUUCCUUUUAGUUCAAAGGAAAAGAUUAGUUUUCCUUCUAUAUAUUACAUUUUCUUUUAUGUUUUAUACAUAACAUGUAAAUAAUUUGAUAUGCGAGACAUGACAUGUCUAUUUAUCUUGUUGAUGUGGCCUCUCUCACAAAAAAAUUCUUUAGCUCGCAUUACUUUGUUAAGUUGUAUGCAAGAUGAUCUCAUGAUUGAGUAUGAGGUAUAUCAAACUUCUCAUGAAAUGUGGGAAGCGUUAAAAGAAAAGUAUGAUGAACUUUCAGCUACGAAGCUAAGAGGACUUGUAAUGAAAUUUGGAAAUUACAAAAUGCGACUGAACCAUUCAAUGAAACAACAUCCUAAGGAGAUGAAAAGAAUGAUAAAAGGGCUUAAAACAUUUGGACAUAUGUUCACUGAUGACCAACAAGUUGAGAAAGUCCAUUACAGGCAUCUCUUUAUAUAUAUAUUGUGGAAAUUUUUUUUAAAGAUAAAAAAAUUUUAAAAUAGCAUAUUCUAAAUUUAAUUUUUUUUUUAUUUUCUAUUUCUAAUCCAACGCAACAUUAUUAUAUUUAAAAAAUUAUAAAUUAUUUGAUAUGAUCUUAAAAAUUGCCUUUUUGUUAUGCCAUGUAAAAAAGAUAAGAUAAAAAAAAAUUUUAAGUAAAUAAAUUAUUUUUAUUUGAUAAUUUAAAUUUAUUUUAAUUAGUUUAACUCAUCGAUCUAAUGAUUAAUAUUUUUAGAAAAAAACUUCAUUUUGUUACAAAUAUUUUCAAACUCAUUGCUGUCAAAUUCAAAACUUAAUUCUUAUCAGAUUUUGUAGGCUACACAUUUGCUUAGUAUAAGAAGAGUUUAUCUUAUUUUGAGCAGUCUUAUUGCAUCUUGACUUAGAAAGCCAAAUAUGUAAGAUUUUAUAUUUGUCACUUAAUGAUUUGAAUAUAGUACAUAGUUUUAAUUAGUUGUAAAUUACAUUCAUAAUGUUGUAUUUUAAAUAAGAGCAAACAAUCAUUUGAGGAGAAUGAUCCCUCUUCAAACCAAAAACGUCCUAUGGGUUCAUGGCUUUAUUAUUUGUAAGAAUAUAUAUACAUAUAUGGUUAAUUCAUUUUGGAUAUUUAUUCAUAUGUUGAAAAUAUAAUCAUUUUUGUGUGAUGUUUUUUGCAGUCGAGAACAAGUACUCGCAAGAAAAUGAGAUAACAAGGAAUUGAUAAUAACUUAUGAUGUAAGAAAAGAAAUGGAUAUUUGCAUAAUAUGUUUUUUAGUCAACUUUUAUACUCUAUAUGAUAACUAACUAAUUUAAUAUUACAUAUGCGAAAAAAGAUUGGAAAAAAGUGGCAAUCCCUUUCAAAUGGAGAAAAAAAAGA
This 13447-nucleotide long non-coding RNA is filed under the name Vitis vinifera (wine grape). RNAcentral's name for it is "long non-coding RNA (VVIN_LNC000774)". The record is from RNAcentral. Lineage: Eukaryota; Viridiplantae; Streptophyta; Magnoliopsida; Vitales; Vitaceae.